AGUCAAACUGGCAACAUUUGAAUGAUAUAGGGGAAGACUUCACUCUUAUAUAUGAAAAGCUGAAAUUCAGCAAGUUAAGCCCUUUCAAAAACUGAUUUUAAGAUAAGUAUCAAUAGGCUCAUACUCUUUAUUUUGUAAUCAUCAAAAAGGGGGAGAUUGAGAAUGAUAGUGUUAUUUUGAUGAUUAACAAGCAUUUAACAAGAGUAUGUUAUAAGUUAAAACAAUACUUCAUUUAU
This 236-nucleotide long non-coding RNA is filed under the name Phoenix dactylifera (date palm). RNAcentral describes it as "long non-coding RNA (PDAC_LNC014412)". Lineage: Eukaryota; Viridiplantae; Streptophyta; Magnoliopsida; Arecales; Arecaceae. The record is from RNAcentral.